GCAGUCGUAACAUGGAUNACGCGUAUAAGGCCGGGGAUUAGUGGCGAACGGGUGAGUAACACGUGGGCAAUCUGCCCUGCACUCUGGGACAAGCCCUGGAAACGGGGUCUAAUACCGGAUACGACGCGUUCCCGCAUGGGAUACGCGUGGAAAGCUCCGGCGGUGCAGGAUGAGCCCGCGGCCUAUCAGCUUGUUGGUGGGGUGAUGGCCUACCAAGGCGACGACGGGUAGCCGGCCUGAGAGGGCGACCGGCCACACUGGGACUGAGACACGGCCCAGACUCCUACGGGAGGCAGCAGUGGGGAAUAUUGCACAAUGGGCGCAAGCCUGAUGCAGCGACGCCGCGUGAGGGAUGACGGCCUUCGGGUUGUAAACCUCUUUCAGCAGGGAAGAAGCGCAAGUGACGGUACCUGCAGAAGAAGCGCCGGCUAACUACGUGCCAGCAGCCGCGGUAAUACGUAGGGCGCAAGCGUUGUCCGGAAUUAUUGGGCGUAAAGAGCUCGUAGGCGGCUUGUCGCGUCGGAUGUGAAAGCCCGGGGCUUAACCCCGGGUCUGCAUUCGAUACGGGCAGGCUAGAGUUCGGUAGGGGAGAUCGGAAUUCCUGGUGUAGCGGUGAAAUGCGCAGAUAUCAGGAGGAACACCGGUGGCGAAGGCGGAUCUCUGGGCCGAUACUGACGCUGAGGAGCGAAAGCGUGGGGAGCGAACAGGAUUAGAUACCCUGGUAGUCCACGCCGUAAACGUUGGGAACUAGGUGUGGGCGACAUUCCACGUUGUCCGUGCCGCAGCUAACGCAUUAAGUUCCCCGCCUGGGGAGUACNGCCGCAAGGCUAAAACUCAAGGAAUUGACGGGGGCCCGCACAAGCNGCGGAGCAUGUGGCUUAAUUCGACGCANC
This 893-nucleotide ribosomal RNA is filed under the name Streptomyces asiaticus. RNAcentral's name for it is "bacterial SSU rRNA". It matches the Rfam family "Bacterial small subunit ribosomal RNA", at positions 57 to 960 of the family's 1533-position model. Lineage: Bacteria; Bacillati; Actinomycetota; Actinomycetes; Kitasatosporales; Streptomycetaceae. The record is from RNAcentral.